This 332-nucleotide ribosomal RNA is filed under the name Exiguobacterium sp. CSeA30_11. Its description in RNAcentral is "bacterial SSU rRNA". It matches the Rfam family "Bacterial small subunit ribosomal RNA", at positions 79 to 406 of the family's 1533-position model. The record is from RNAcentral. Lineage: Bacteria; Bacillati; Bacillota; Bacilli; Caryophanales.
GAAGUCGAUGGAAUGAGCGUCGGACUGGUGACUAACACGUACAGAACCUGCCCUCAUGUCUGGGAUAACCGCCAUCAAUCCGGGCUAAUACCGGAUGGGUCAUCGGACCCCAUGGUCCAACGAUGAAAUGCGCUUCAGCGUCACCUGGGGAUGGCUUUGCAGUGCAUUAGCUAGUUGGUGGGGUAAUGGCCCACCUGAGCCACGAUGCAUACUCCACCUGAAAGGGUGAUCGGCCACUCUGGGACUGAGACACAGCCCAUACUCCUACAGUACGCAGCGAUAGGUAAUCUUCCUCAAUGUACGAAAGUCUGAUGGAGCAACUCCUCGUGAAC